UGCGGUUAGAAAGCUCGUAGUUGGAUCUCGGCGGGCAGGGGGUGGUUCGCUCUUCAGCGCUACUGCCCCGCUUUGCCCGUGUGAUUGGCGGAGGUUUCGGGGUGCUCUUCGUUGAGUGACUCGGAGCGCCGUCAGGUUUACUUUGAAAAAAUUAGAGUGCUCAAAGCAGGCUUUUCACGCUUGAAUAUUCGUGCAUGGAAUAAUGGAAUAGGAACUCGUUUCUAUUUUGUUGGUUUUCGGAAAUCGAGUUAAUGAUUAACAGGGACAAUUGGGGGCAUUAGUAUUCAGACGACAGAGGUGAAAUUCUUGGACCGUCUGAAGACUGACUACUGCGAAAGCAUUUGCCAAGAGUGUUUUCAUUAAUCAAGAACGAAAGUUAGAGGUUCGAAGGCGAUCAGAUACCGCCCUAGUUCUAACCAUAAACGAUGCCAGCUAGCGAUCUGCCGAGUUUUUUUUGUAGGCUCCGCAGGAAGCUUUCGGGAAACCAAAGCUUUUGGGUUCCGGGGGAAGUAUGGUUGCAAAGCUGAAACUUAAAGGAAUUGACGGAAGGGCACCACCAGGAGUGGAGCCUGCGGCUUAAUUUGACUCAACACGGGAAAUCUCACCAGGCCCGGACACUGGAAGGAUUGACAGAUUGAGAGCUCUUUCUCGAUUCGGU
RNAcentral lists this ribosomal RNA (658 nucleotides) under uncultured marine eukaryote. RNAcentral's name for it is "SSU rRNA". It matches the Rfam family "Eukaryotic small subunit ribosomal RNA", at positions 614 to 1271 of the family's 1831-position model. The record is from RNAcentral.